GGCUCCCGUAGGAGUCCGAGCGGAGCUGCACUUGCUGAUGGCGGUGGAGCCCGGCUCCCGUAGGAGUCCGGGCGGAGCUGCACUUGCUGAUGGCGGUGGAGCCCGGCUCCCGUAGGAGUCCGGGCGGAGCUGCACUUGCUGAUGGUGGUGGAGCCCGGCUCCCGUAGGAGUCCGGGCGGAGCUGCACUUGCUGAUGGCGGUUCCGUCGUGGGUUCCGGCUGUGGGUAUUUUAUACCCAACA
RNAcentral lists this long non-coding RNA (241 nucleotides) under Elaeis guineensis (African oil palm). RNAcentral describes it as "long non-coding RNA (EGUI_LNC058081)". The record is from RNAcentral. Lineage: Eukaryota; Viridiplantae; Streptophyta; Magnoliopsida; Arecales; Arecaceae.